CUGACGUGUGCUGCACCUGUCAUGAGGAAGGCAGCAACUGAAAAGUAUCAGGAAACCACAUUAUGUUAAAUCUUUCCAACAGUGAGUGAUUAACUCAGUCCAUGAUACUGAAUCAUUUUAUAAAACUGUGAUGAUUUUGAAACUGUAGAAAGAAAUUCCAAUGGAAUAUACACACAAACUCCUGGCAGUCAGAGAAGUGCUAACAGCUCAUGGAGCUGCCCUUCACAAAUCUGGAAGUAGCUUUCAUCUUGUUGGCUUUUGUCAUUUUCUCUUUGUUUACCCUGGCUUCUAUCUACACUGACCCCCAAGACAACAAUGCAGAGGAAUCCUUCACACAGGAAGUGUACAAGAAAAGGAGCAAGUCCAGCAAGAAAAAAACGCAUGCAAGUGUGACUGAAGUGAUUUAGAAUAAGAAAUACUACUCAGACUGACUGUUAGACAAACUUCUGAAAAGGUAGCUUUGGGAGCUGGUCACCUGAAGCCAGUGAGAUAAAGGAUAUGAGAAAGGAAGGACCCGGUCAUCCAUCAGAUGGAAUUCAGACGUGAUAGUUGGAGUUAAUGAACCACGACACACAAAGCAGCUUCAGCACCUUUUUACAACCCCACUUCAUGGCCUUCAUAAAACUAUCAGGGCUUUUUUCACAUAGCAUCUCUGCUCUAAAUUCUAAAAGGAGAAACUUUAAAUUCUGAGGUUACAUUUGGUUUCUUCCCUGCUUUUCAAUCAUGUAUAAAGUGUAUUUAAUAGCUAUGUAUUUACUUUUCUAUCUAUUAAGUCAACAGAACAUAGAAAGAUAAAUUUUCUACAGAGAGACUAUAGAGCAUUACUAUAGUAAUUUUUUGAUUUACGUGAACACUAAUAAACUGCUGAAGCUGACUGGAAAUUAACAGGCAAACACUUUUUAAAAACUCUCCAGUAUAUUGACAGCUAUGUUCAAGCAUUGUUUUAGCUCUCAGAUAAGUAGAGAAUUUAUAUAACACUUUGAAAACAAAAAGCUGAUUUGCUCUUUUAAAAGGUGCCUAACUCAACCUUGAUAUUUAAGUCCUCCACUUCUUCAUAGAUCAGGUACAGCCAAUGGAACAAUGCCUCUUUCUCCCCAAGAUGUGCUGAACUUCUCACCUUCAGGCUGGAGCUGAUUUUACUUGACUCAUGGACAAAACAUUUCUGCAGUUUUUUGAUCCUACCCAUCUCCUCUAGGUCUGAAGCACUAGUAGUAUACCAGCAAUAAUCCUGCUUCUUCUGUCCAUAAGUAGAAAGAAGCAAGAGGAAAGACAAAGUAGUACAUAGACUAAUUCUUAGAAGACUCAGAGACGCUGUCUCACUACCAGCUGCGUCAUGAUUCCCUCUUCUCACCAACUUAAAAAGUGAUCGGCUAUAUCCUGUUUCUGGGCAAGGCAGAGGCAUCUCAACAACUGGUACCCCUCUAAUUCUGAACCGAAGGAAAAGCUUCAUUCAGAAGUAUGUGUCCAGCUUGGUGUUGCACAUGACUCCUGUAUGUGCAGGACAUCAUCAGGAGUCAGAAGCCAUUGGCCCUCAAGGGAAGUGGCUCAGAUUUUUGUUCUCACUAAGGAAUGUGUUUACUCACACAUUCUACUUUUCUCUCCUACUUUCUGUAUUGUUUAUUCUUUACUAAUACUGAACCUUGUUCAUGUUGUAAUAUUAGAAAUUGCUAUCACUGGCAUUGAAUUCCUUUCUUACGGUAAAAUCACUUUUCAAUUAAAAAAGGAUAUUGCUGUCUUCUAUAUUUUGAGUAUGGGCAAACCUAUGUUGACAAAUUAAAUGCAACCCAAGUCUUUGCUUAAGGAGCUUCAACUUUUUUUAAAGAUUCAGUACUUUCAUUUCUCUAAAGAGAUGAUCAGAAGAAAGGGAAGGAAAAAGUAUAAUAAUAAAAUGCCUUAUAUGAAGUUAAUUUGUCUGACUGUGCUGUAGGUGAAUGCUAAAGGUAUAUUAUAACAUAUUUCCCUAUCUUAAUUAACAGAUUAAAUAAUAAACAUUUCAUUUUAUUCUAGCAUGCUUCCUCAACGCAAAAACUCUCAGACUAUUUAAAACAUCUUGGUGAUAAAAAUGUCUGAAAACUGUCUCUCCCUGUACACACAGUAUUGCUAAGGCAACUCGAGUUUUAUCUUUUCUUUUGCUAUGUUAACUUGCCAAGAGCUCACUCAAUGUUAGCCGUAUUGAAAACACAGUUAAACAAGUGAAAUAAAAUAAAAUAGGGAAUUAAUUUAAAAAUUAUGAAAAUAUAGAGUGUUAGCUGGAGAUGUCUUCUGCUUUGCUUAAACAUCAAAUUUUUUUUAAGUAUGUAUUCAGAGAAGUCUUAUAACAUAUAACAUAGUGAAUAAACUUUCCACAGAUCAGGUAAGUGACAUUUUAAAGAUCCAUUAUUUCAAUAAUUUCCUUCAAUCCAGUGGUACUUCAGUAAAGAAAGAACAUAUAAUAUAACAUGAGAAAUAAUUGCUUUAUCUUCAGGUGUCAUAUCAAAAUAUGUAGUGGGAGUUCUCCAUGUAAACAAAGUUUUCUAGGGGAAAACAUUACUGCAUAUUUGUGGUUUUAUGAGUUGUUUACAAGUUGUUCUGUAAUGAAUAAAACUGAUGAAGCAAAGUUUUCCAGCUGUAGAGAAGCCAGGUAAAGACCCUGGCAUUACACAAAUUUUUCUGUAAUGUAAAUCCAAUCCUAUUGAAAUCAGGAAGCUUUCUAUAGUUGAAUUCAGUUAGAGGACAACUUAGACUUAAUAGCCCAUUCCUACUCAUGGCACAAGUUAUGGAAGAGGAACUGUCACUUUGGGAGGGACUUGUUUAAUCUUCUAAUGGCCACAUCCCCAGGGCUGAAGUUAAGUCAUUUUUUAUUAAAAAUUCACAGAAGAGUGACUCCAAAGGGGAAGUAGUCCCUUCCAGUACAAACACUGUACAGGUGAAGUAAUUAUUUUCUUAUUUAGUAGCUACUGUGCCUUAGUUCUACCCAUAAAGUGUACUACUUCUGCACUAACUGGAUAGGUGUACCAUAAGUCGAGAAAGUUAGUUUUAAAAAAUGAUGGAAAGAAACUCACAAAAAAUGUGGAUCUUUAUGAACUUUAAUGAAGUGAUAAAAAAUAACACUGACAAUAAAUGUGUAUGAACAAUUAUUUUACAAAAAAAACACAUAAAGAAUUAAUCAUACCUGAUUACCGUUAUAGCAGUACAGAAUUUGCAUAUAGUAGGCUAAUGGUUGAAAUCCAUUUGAGAUUAUUAUUUAUUCUUACACCUGAAUAUGUGUUUUACUAUAACAGAUAGAAGUUAAUAAAUCCUCCAAAAAUUCUUGCA
Long non-coding RNA from Struthio camelus australis, 3294 nucleotides. RefSeq lists it as uncharacterized. NCBI's taxonomy places the organism in Eukaryota, Metazoa, Chordata, Aves, Struthioniformes, Struthionidae. The record is from RefSeq and is a predicted model, not a curated record.